AAUGUUUAAAUUAGGGCUGGGUGCUGGUGUUGUAUGAGGGCAUGUGAGCCACGUAGGCUAGCUGAUAUGUUGCUGGCACCAUGCGAGGACACCUUAGCUGCAUGUCAAACAUGUCAGGAACACCUUGCCCCAUAUUCAAGUAUUUAUAGGGCAUGGUCCAGUAAAGAAUACUCCUUGCCCAUCGAGCUCUAACCAAUAACCACUGCAAGGGUGAAGUUGUUCUGGUGUUCCAGCCAGUGUUAGUCCUCUCCCUUACUGUAGAGUUAAGUUGUUCCUGAGCUGAGUGUCAACCUCCUGUGUGGUGACCAGGGUCAUCCAAGUGCCCACCUCGCCGCGGUCAAGCAAUCACAAGCGAUUCCCCAGCUGUACAGUGCAAGUUUCGUGUUCUCCUUAGAACACCUAGACGAGGUGGUAUUUAAAGAAGUCUACUCCAAUGCCUGCUCCUCAAGUGGAUGAAGCCAUCUAACUGGGUAUUGGAUAGAGGGAUCUAGAACCACUUCAUUGCAACAAAGGCAAGCCCCGGUGCAUGCAACCACUUCUUUGUGUUUUUAAAUAAUUUUUGCACACUUUAAGUCUAGUGAAAUGUGCAUUAGGUUUAUAGGAGUUGCUUGGAAACCCUUUGAUGCAUUGCCUACCUUGAUAUCCAUACCUUUAUAGAUACUUCUGAUGAAGUAUCAAAAUAUGGUUUACAAAAUUGCUUAGCCUUGCUUAGAGGUAAAUCUUGUGGAUAGAGGUUGUCCUUUGCGUUAAUGCCUAGGUCAGGGGUUAUCCUGAGGAAGGAUGGCUUCUGCCUGCAAGAAUAUUUUCAUUAGGAGCAAUGGUGGGAUCUUACUGUAAAGUUCCCUGUGAUGCUCUUUUCAUCCUUAGGAACACAAACAAUCCUAAGGGUGGAAGUACUUAAAUCGGGACUUGGGCUAGGAACAGGUGAUGUUCCGUCCGGGUCAAUUAAGGAUUGGAUGCGUAUGUAGGCCUGUUGAUCAAGGACUAUCUUAACUAGCCACAUGCCCUGGAAAUGGGACAGGGUAAGCUUGAACCCGGCUAUUCCAUACGUGAAAAGACAACCGCGCACUGGGCGUGGGAGAUGGUGGGAGUAGCGUGUACCCUUCUGGCUAGAGGUUGGAUGGAGGAGUACUGUGCUCCCGGGUAGCGCGGACCGGUUCACGUUGUGGAGGAUCUGUGGGAACGGUUGACAUAUGCAAGGGUUAAGUGCUACAUAUGUUGUGUGGUUAGAGAUCCUCAGCUGAGUAAAUCGAUUCGGAUCGCCGUUAUAUCCCCGGAGAGUGGAGACUUGAUCUCCGACCUGCAACCUAAGUCAGGAUGUGAACCUCAUGAAUAAAAAUGAUGUUGUAUUGAUGAGAUGGUGAAAUUAGACUAGAUGCAAACAGAGUCUAUUAAUAUUUAAUCUAGCGUUAAAAUAUUGAAAGUAAGGACUCACUUUAGUAAGCUAUUUCUGCGAAAGUAUCUAAGUUGAUUCUUGCUAAAGCCUCUCCUUGAUUCCCAAAUCCAGCAUAUCCUUGAGAGUCUUUUCUUUAGUCGGGUAAGUCUUGCUGAGUAAUUCCAUACUCAGGGUUUUAUUCCCUGUUGUUUUUCAGGAUAUAACUUUGUGCUGCUGUGAUGGUGUUAAGUGCCGGUGGGCUCGGCCUUCUUAUAUAAGUAUACCCAGUCUUUAUCUUCUUACUGAGGAUGGUCAUUUGAGCUAGCAUAUAUUUCAAACUUAUACUCUUGUAAUCACUCCGAUAAAAUAUUGUAAAAUUUUUGUAACCUGUAAAAUUUGGUAAUAAGAUUUCGGCUGCUAAAAUAUUGUGUGUGU
Long non-coding RNA from Zea mays, 1810 nucleotides. RefSeq lists it as uncharacterized. The transcript has 2 exons. Lineage: Eukaryota; Viridiplantae; Streptophyta; Magnoliopsida; Poales; Poaceae. The record is from RefSeq and is a predicted model, not a curated record.